This 253-nucleotide ribosomal RNA is filed under the name uncultured bacterium. RNAcentral describes it as "partial 16S ribosomal RNA". It matches the Rfam family "Bacterial small subunit ribosomal RNA", at positions 524 to 776 of the family's 1533-position model. The record is from RNAcentral.
UACAGAGGUCCCAAGCGUUGUUCGGAUUCACUGGGCGUAAAGGGUGCGUAGGCGGUCGGGUAAGUCUGAUGUGAAAUCUCACAGCUUAACUGUGAAACUGCAUUGGAUACUAUCCGGCUCGAGGAAUGGAGGGGAGACUGGAAUACUUGGUGUAGCAGUGAAAUGCGUAGAUAUCAGGAGGAACACCGGUGGCGAAGGCGGGUCUCUGGGCAGUAACUGACGCUGAGGAGCGAAAGCGUGGGGAGCGAACAGG